CCCUCACACCAANCGAACCCCGGCGCGGAUUGCGCCAAGGACCACGAACAAUAGCGCGCCGCCCGCCACUCGGUAAUCCGGUGUGCGAGCGGCGGCGUGUCGUUUCUAUACUAACUGAACGACUCUCGGCAACGGAUAUCUCGGCUCUCGCAUCGAUGAAGAACGUAGCGAAAUGCGAUACUUGGUGUGAAUUGCAGAAUCCCGUGAACCAUCGAGUCUUUGAACGCAAGUUGCGCCCGAAGCCUUAGGGCCGAGGGCACGUCUGCAUGGGCGUCACGCACAGCGUCGCCCCCACCCCCAAUCGUGGGGCGUGGGGCGGAUUCUGGCCCCCCGUGUGCUCCCGCNCGCGGUCGGCCUAAAAUCAGACCCCGUGGCCGCGAAAUGCCGCGACGAUUGGUGGUGUAGCCAUCGGCCUCGUGCCGUCGAACAUCGCGUCGCGUCUUCCGUGGCCCUNUGGAGUCAAAGGACCCUUUGCGACCCCAUGUCAGGCGGGACUACCCGCUGAGUUUAAGCAUAUCAAUAAGCGGAGGAAAAGAAA
Molecule: ribosomal RNA, 538 nt
Filed under: Bistorta tenuicaulis
Lineage: Eukaryota; Viridiplantae; Streptophyta; Magnoliopsida; Caryophyllales; Polygonaceae
Description: eukaryotic LSU rRNA
Rfam family: 5.8S ribosomal RNA (bases 121-276)
Source: RNAcentral